Zea mays is the source of this 1556-nucleotide RNA transcript. It is a transcript of the gene named actin-related protein 7-like, with no coding region annotated. The record is from RefSeq and is marked validated. Lineage: Eukaryota; Viridiplantae; Streptophyta; Magnoliopsida; Poales; Poaceae. The transcript is spliced from 5 exons.
AGUGCAUAUAGACUGGUCAUUUUACGAUUAGGGAUUAUUUUGGCCGCCGUCGCUGCCCUUCCUAGUCGCUGUCGCGACCUCAUCUGCUUCCAGAGUCCGGCCUCGUCUGCUUGCAGCGUCGCCGACCAGAUCCACCCGCACGCGGCCGUCCGCGCCUCGUCCAUCGCAGCGGCCGCCCGCACGCGUCCAUGACCUCGUCGGCUUCCGGCGCCGGCCAGAUCCGCCCAGCCUCUCCGCCCCCGCCGACCGCGCUGCAGCCCUCUCCGCGGUGCCUCGGCCCCUCCCGUCGCGGCUACCUCCAGCCGCCGGUCAACCUGCCGACGUGGCCACCUCCGGCCGCCCAGAUCCGCUGCACCACCUCCAGACGCCAGCCGCCGACCGCCCAGACCCCCUGCUCCACCAGGGAGAGUCGCCAGCCGCUACCUCUAGCCGCCGGUCGCGUAGAUCCCCUGCUCCACCAGGGAGUCGGCCGCCCAGAUCCCCUGCUCCACCAGGGAGAGCCACCAGCCGCUCCACCACUGUGUCCCAACCCUAGGCCGAGGGAUUGCGCGCCUCCCUGACGUGAGCCGCGACUGGGUGAACACAGAUAUUGCUCCAGUUUGUGAAGCAGCUGUUCAACACAGCUUCUAAGAGAUUAGAGAUUGGGGUAGUUGACUUGACAAACCUCUUUUCACACGAACUGAAAAACUAAUCCAUCAGUAAACCUUGAUGUUUCUGAUGUUGAGAGGCUGAAAGAGCAGUAUGCAUGUUGCACAGAAGAUCAGUUGGCUUUUGAAGGCUAUAGAAAGCUCUUGCCAACCAGAAAGGCACUUCCUGAUGGGCAGGUCAUAACAAUUGAGAAAGAGAGGUACAUUGUUGGUGAAGCUUUAUUUCAACCACAUAUAUUGGGCUUGGAAGAUUAUGGUAUCGUUCACCAGCUAGUUACUAGCGCCUCAAAUGUUUCAUCAGAGUACCAUCGUCAGCUGCUUGAAAAUACCAUGUUAUGUGGUGGCACCACAUCAAUGACUGGCUUUGAGGACAGGUUCCAGAGAGAAGCAAAUCUGUCUGCUUCAGCAAUCUUUCCAUCACUUGUGAAGCCCCCCUGAAUACAUGUCCGAGAACCUAGCAAGGUACUCGGCCUGGUUGGGUGGUGCGAUAUUGGCCAAGGUCGUUUUCCCUGAAAACCAGCAUAUCACCAAGGGCGAGUAUGAUGAGACGGGGCGUCUAUUGUGCACCAGAAGUGCUUUUAGAGACAAACUGCCUUGAACUAGCACGGUUGUGCACCAUUUGCUGCUGUUCAUGUCACAGCUGUGCUCGUACCUGAAUGUUGCAGGUGCCGAUGCUUGAGUCCACUGUACGCCAGCCACAGUUCAUACCGCUAGCCACAGUUCAUACCUGACUGUUGCGAAGUGUUGGUGCAUCUAGGUCGGUUGGGUUUAUUUAGAGUGCAAUAGAGGGUAACAUUGACGUGUAUUCGUUAGGAGUUUUAGCCAAUUGCCCAUUUGCACCUGUAGUAUUAGAGAAUUAGCUGAGAUUUCCUUUUCAACUUACAUUAUGAUCCAUUAUCUCUUCAGCUA